This 336-nucleotide unclassified non-coding RNA is filed under the name soil metagenome. RNAcentral describes it as "partial contains 5.8S ribosomal RNA, internal transcribed spacer 2, and large subunit ribosomal RNA". The stretch from base 1 to 120 matches the Rfam family "5.8S ribosomal RNA", at positions 35 to 154 of the family's 154-position model. The record is from RNAcentral.
GAUGAAGAACGCAGCGAAAUGCGAUAAGUAGUGUGAAUUGCAGAAUUCAGUGAAUCAUCGAAUCUUUGAACGCACAUUGCGCCCCUUGGUAUUCCAUGGGGCAUGCCUGUUCGAGCGUCAUUUGUACCUUCAAGCUCUGCUUGGUGUUGGGUGUUUGUCUCGCCUCUGCGUGUAGACUCGCCUCAAAACAAUUGGCAGCCGGCGUAUUGAUUUCGGAGCGCAGUACAUCUCGCGCUUUGCACUCAUAACGACGACGUCCAAAAGUACAUUUUUACACUCUUGACCUCGGAUCAGGUAGGGAUACCCGCUGAACUUAAGCAUAUCAAUAAGCGAGGA